UACGUAGGGUGCGAGCGUUGUCCGGAAUUAUUGGGCGUAAAGAGCUCGUAGGCGGUGUGUCGCGUCGAUCGUGAAAACUUGGGGCUUAACCCUGAGCUUGCGGUCGAUACGGGCAUCACUUGAGUUCGGCAGGGGAGACUGGAAUUCCUGGUGUAGCGGUGAAAUGCGCAGAUAUCAGGAGGAACACCGGUGGCGAAGGCGGGUCUCUGGGCCGAUACUGACGCUGAGGAGCGAAAGCGUGGGGAGCGAACAGG
Molecule: ribosomal RNA, 254 nt
Filed under: uncultured bacterium
Lineage: Bacteria
Description: partial 16S ribosomal RNA
Rfam family: Bacterial small subunit ribosomal RNA
Source: RNAcentral